Long non-coding RNA from Panicum virgatum (switchgrass), 1415 nucleotides. RefSeq lists it as uncharacterized. Lineage: Eukaryota; Viridiplantae; Streptophyta; Magnoliopsida; Poales; Poaceae. The record is from RefSeq and is a predicted model, not a curated record. The transcript has 3 exons.
CCACUCCUGCUCCCCCCGCCACCCUCUCUCUCCCUCUUUGCCUCGCGCCGCCGCCUCCCCUCCCCUCCCCUUCUCCCUCUCUGCCUGCCUCCGUCGACCCUUCCCGCCGCCGCCCGCUCCCGCGGGAUCCACGCCACCCCUCUCCCCAUUAUCGCCUCCUCUCUCUCUCCCUCUCUCUCUCUCUCUCGGCCCACCCAUCCCCCCUCCGCUCGGCACAGGCCGACGUGGAUCCGGUGGACCUGCUCGCCGCGCGGCCGGCAGUGGCUACGUGCGGGAGAUAGAGGCCGCGCCACACACGCGAGGAGGAGGAGGAGCAGCGCAGAUCCCGCACGGGCGCAAGAGCAGUCCAGCGACGCCUUCCCGUUCGCCUCGCCGUCCUCGCUCUCCUAGCUUGGAUCCCAUGUCGGCCCAGAAGCCGGCGACCGGCGCGGGCGCGUGCUCUAGCCAGGAGAAAGGGAGCAGAACACCUCUGGAGCGGACGGCGGAUGCGGCGAAGGCGCUGUACCACCUCCGUGUCACCUUCUUCCCCCAGGACCCUGCCGAGAAGGCCGCCGCACUCCGCGCCGGCGCCGCCCUCGCCCUCCUCGACGCUCUCUUUGGUACGUGCCUUUCCACCCGCCGGCAUCCGCCGUUUGCUGCAGCUGAUUCGGUUAGUAGCACACCGGGUAGUAGUGACGCGGAGGCCGGUGUCGGCUGCACGCCACUGAUUCGAAAAUUUGAUCACUACCGCUGGUGGAUUACCUAUUUACAUUGGACUUAGCAUCUGGAUAGUUGUGAUCUAGAACAAAUAAACUCGUUCUACAAGAUGUGGCCCUCCGCACAUGGAUAUUAUGCGCACUUCCUUGCAAGCAAGGCAUCUUUGGUGGCCUCUGUGUGAUCUCCAACGCCUUAGAGUGCGCCGGCCAGAGCUCAAGCAACUGGAGUCGCUGCUGACAUGGAUAACACCCAGCACCUGCUCGAGGAAAUGCCUGCAAGCACAAUGAUUACCGUAGCUCCAAUCAUCAAGCUAUUGAUCCAUUGGUUCAUACAUAUCAAUCUGUGAUGUCCAUGUAUCUUGACUCAUGAGUAAACAUCAGUUUCUUCUUCGCCCAUUGAUAGUUGUAUGUUUAUAUAUGCUCUUUCCUAUUUACAGACUAAGACUUAUAUCGUUUUGAUUUAUCAGUUUUUUAGAUCUUGUUUACUUUCUUAUGACGUUGAAAUUCUGCCUAUGUCAUUUCAGGAUCUUCUGUUUUUGGCUUGCAGUCAUCCAGAUAAUAGAACCACGAUUAUUUCAAUUGUAGAGUGGCCAGAAUGGAUUUUGGAGGUUUUUGAUUUCUAAUCAUGAGAUGGGAGCUAAGAAAAAACUGAUGGUGUAAGCAUGAGUGAGAUUGAAGACCCCACACACAAUUUCCUGAUUCUCAUGCUGGAGCAUUCAA